RNAcentral lists this ribosomal RNA (422 nucleotides) under uncultured prokaryote. RNAcentral's name for it is "bacterial SSU rRNA". It matches the Rfam family "Bacterial small subunit ribosomal RNA", at positions 355 to 774 of the family's 1533-position model. The record is from RNAcentral.
UGAGGAAUAUUGGUCAAUGGGCGCAAGCCUGAACCAGCCAUCCCGCGUGCAGGAAGACGGCCCUAUGGGUUGUAAACUGCUUUUGUAUGGGAGCAAUAAGGGUUACGAGUAGCCUGAUGAGAGUACCAUACGAAUAAGGACCGGCUAACUCCGUGCCAGCAGCCGCGGUAAUACGGAGGUUCCGAGCGUUAUCCGGAUUUAUUGGGUUUAAAGGGUGCGUAGGCGGUUUUAUAAGUCAGCGGUGAAAUUUUCCGGCUCAACCGGGAUACUGCCGUUGAUACUGUAAGGCUAGGAUAUGGUUGCUGUGGGUGGAAUGUGUGGUGUAGCGGUGAAAUGCUUAGAGAUCACACAGAAUAUCGAUUGCGAAGGCAGCUCACAAAGCCAUUAUUGACGCUGAGGCACGAAAGCGUGGGGAGCAAACA